RNAcentral lists this ribosomal RNA (449 nucleotides) under uncultured bacterium. RNAcentral's name for it is "partial 16S ribosomal RNA". It matches the Rfam family "Bacterial small subunit ribosomal RNA", at positions 29 to 523 of the family's 1533-position model. The record is from RNAcentral.
AACGAACGCUGGCGGCAUGCCUAACACAUGCAAGUCGAACGAGACCUUCGGGUCUAGUGGCGCACGGGUGCGUAACGCGUGGGAACCUGCCCUUAGGUUCGGAAUAACUCCCCGAAAGGGGUGCUAAUACCGGAUAAUGUCUUCGGACCAAAGAUUUAUCGCCUUUGGAUGGGCCCGCGUAGGAUUAGCUAGUUGGUAGGGUAAAGGCCUACCAAGGCGACGAUCCUUAGCUGGUCUUAGAGGAUGAUCAGCCACACUGGGACUGAGACACGGCCCAGACUCCUACGGGAGGCAGCAGUGGGGAAUAUUGGACAAUGGGCGAAAGCCUGAUCCAGCAAUGCCGCGUGAGUGAUGAAGGCCUUAGGGUUGUAAAGCUCCUUUACCCGGGAUGAUAAUGACAGUACCGGGAGAAUAAGCCCCGGCUAACUCCGUGCCAGCCGCCGCGGUAA